GGCUCUUUCUUUCCUUCCCUCACCAAGCUCCCUCAACCUUCUCUCUAUUUAUCGGCGUGUCUCUUUGCUCGUGUAUCUCUAUUUCUCUGAUUUUACGUUGCUUGCUUUUUAGGUAGAAAUUCAUCAGGUUUUGUUUCUGGGAAUUUGAUCUGUUUUGUAUAAAUUAAUCACUUUUUUUAUUUAUAAAAUGACUGUAACAGUCGACAGCCACAAUAAUUGCGAGAAAAAAAAAUUGAUUUAAUGGGCUAUGGAGUAAUAAGCAUAGUUAUUAAACCUGGUUUGGAGGUUUACCUGGUCAAGAGACCGGGUCUCGAGUUUUAUGGGUUCAUUCGGAUCAACCCAAAAAAUCACUUAUUUUUCUUUUUUAAAAAAGUUGUUGACAACAGCUUCAACACCCGAGAAAAUUAAUAUUCUUAUAACUUUGUAAUUUACCUUCUCUUUCUAGUCAAACAUGCUUCCAUAUUUCCCAGUCAAAUGGCUCCAAAAGCUAUAAGGAAUGCCCCACAUUGCAAUUUAAUAUAUUUCCUAGUCAACUAAAAAUUUUGAAGGAAAGACACACAAAACCUAAACUUUUCCCUGCCGCUGCUCCCCUUGCCUUUAGAUUUUCUCUCCCAAAACCAGCUAAAACUUCCCUUUUUGCUGGCCAAAAUCAUACACAACUGACUAUAAAAAAUUGGAAGAUAAAGAGAUUCUCUUCCCUUCUUUCUUCAUUCUCAUUCUAAAAUGAUGAAGACCCCAACCACAACUUCCCUCGCCCCUCUCUCAGUCAUCUCCCUGGUUUUUUGGCCAAAACUAGAGAGUCCCUCCUUCUUCUUCCCCGGCUGUCUCUGUCUCUUGGCCAAACCAGAAUCGCCGCCCACUGACACAGGAGACCAACCUGACCAGCCUCCAACGACAGCGUUCCUCACUCUCAUUUCCUCUCUGCUACUGCUACCAACAACUCAUUGUAGAGAAGAUGAUGAAAUAAGAACGGAGGCCAAAUGACAAAACCAUAUUUGAAAAGGAAAAAAAAAUAAAAAAGGGUCUCGUCCGGGUUCGCUUAGGUCGAAUCGCCGGGUCGACCGGGUUUUACUGGGUUGUUGCACCAAUCGGUCCUUUAACAAACCCGAAUCGGUCUGGGUCUCGAGUUGGCCGGGUCUUGGGCGGACCUGCUAAGCCGGUCCGAGUUUAAUAACUAUUGUAAUUAGACUAUAUAUAUAUAACAAUUUUUUUUUAAAAAAACCUUCAAAUAUUAGUUGUGCUUUUUUUAAGGACAUAUAAGUAAUCACAUCAUGAAAUAAAAUAAAUGAAAAUACAAAAUUACCCUCGAGUGUCUGUUCAACUAUUAAGCUUUUUAAGGGAGUCAUCAAUUAUUUUACUAUGAACUAUAUUGUGUAUAAUUCAUAAUAAAACACUGAUGCAUUUUAAUUUUAUUUAUAAUAUUCCUAGGAGGAUACAAUUACAAUUCAUCCCUUUUUGAAAAUUGUAAAGAUUAGAUCAUUAACCACUAUUAUACUGUGGUUCAAGUUAAAUUUUUUUAACAUAAAAAAAAAAUCAAACAUUGAUAAUAUGGUUUUUUAGUAGAGAAAAAAAUUAAACCAUGUGAAGGUCGGUCCAAUAUGACUCAAUUGACUUUGCAAGUUCAAAAACAACCCGGAUAAUCCGUAAAACCAUAAUUUGACUCAAAAAAAUUUCAAUGUUACAUGUUUUUUUAAUAUUAAAAUAACAACAUAUUGAAUUGGUUUAAGUUAACCUGAUGAACAUGUCAAAUCCACGACUCAUGUUGUGAAACUAUGAUAAUCCUAUAGAAAGCAAAUUAAAACAAAUUAUAAAAUCUAAUUUUCAAUAAAAUUAAUUUUGAAGUAUGAAAUUGAUCAUUUAAAAAGGAUAUAAAAAAGCAGCCCAAGUUAAUUUGUUAGACUUACAACCUUGGUUAUAAAACUGAGAUAACCAUAACCUCGUAAAAAUAAAAUCAAAAUAAAUUAUAAAUUCUAAUUUUCAAUCAACCUAGUAUUGAAGGAUGAGAUAAAAAAAAAUCACCUAAAAAAAUAUAAAAAAUAACUUGAGUCAAUCCACCAAAACCAUGAUCAGAGUCAUGAAACUAAGAUAACUUUAUAGAAAAAAAACAAAAAAAAAACUUGAUUUAACUCAAAUUAACCUAUUAAAUCUGCGACUCUGAUAGUGAGACUGAAAUAACCACAUAGAGAACAAAAUUAAAAUAAAUUAUGAAACUCAAUUCUUAAUUGACCUUUCAGACCCAUUAUUGAACAAUGUAUUUUUUAAAAACUUUAAUUUAAAAAAUAAUACAAAAAAUAAGUUGAGUUAACUCGUUAAGCACUAUUCUCAGAUCAUGAGGCUAGGAUAACCUAAUAAAAAGUAAAUUGAAAUAAAUUAUGAAGCUUAACUCCCAAUUAAACACAAUAAAUGAUAAAAUUGGAGAAAAAUUCAAUUUUUUUUAAAAAUAACUGAGUCAAUUAGGUUAACCCACGAAACACGCGACCUGGGUUGUGAGACAAGGACAACCUAAUAAAAACAAAUUUAUGUUGAAGGACCUAUGACCCAGGUCAUGAGACCAAGAUAACUUAUUAAAAAUAAAAUAAAAAAACAACCUAAUUUUACCAGGAUUAAAAUGCCAAAACUUGUGACCUUCAUUAUAUGACUAGGAUAUAUUUAUAGAAAAUAAAUCAAAGUGGAUUAUAAAACCCAAUCUCAAUCGACGUAACGAUGAAUAAUAAAAUUAGAAAAACAAUUAAAUUAAAAAAAGAACACAAAAAACAACUUUAGUCAACUCAUGUUAACCUAUUAAAUAUUAUUUUUAGGUCAUGAGACCAAAACAACCUAAUAAAAAAAAUAUAAAAAUAAAAAUCAUAAAACUUAAUUCUCAAUCAACCCAAUAUUAAAAGAUGAGAUUGAAAAAAAAAAAUUAAAAAAAUAAAAAAUACAAAUUAACUAGGUUAACAUGUCAAACCCUCAAUCUAUAUAAUAAAAGUGAAAUAACUCAAUGAAAAAAAAUUUAAUUUUAAAAGAUAAAAUUAAAAAAAAUAUUAAUUGAAAAUUAUUUUUAACAAAAAUUACUAUUUCAAUUUCAAUAAAUAGUGCUUUGUCAGGGUUAUUUAAAACUCCUCUUUAUUUAUUUAGUUUUUCAAUUAAACAAUAAAAAUUAUUAAUUAGACACAUGAAAAAAUAAAAUCAAGCUUGCUUCUAUUUGAAAAAAACAUCGCAUGUGAAGCAUGGGUGGUCCACUAGUUUUAGAGGUUGUUUAUUAGUAUAAUAAAAAUUAUUUUUUAAGGUAUUUUUUAUUUAAAAAUAUAUUUAAAUAAUAUUUUUUUAAUUUAAAAAAAAUUAUUUUUGAUAUUAUUAUAUUCAAAUGAUUUAAAAAUAUAAUAAAUAAAUAAUUUUGAAUUAAAUAAAAAAUAAUUUAUUUUAAAAAAUAUUUUUAAAAUACAAAAAUCAGGUUUUUAUAGUAUAGCCAAAUACUGAGAAAAACACAAAGAAAGAAAUGAGAAAAAGAAGGACCGUCGAUGUGAAUAUUUUACAGGAAAAUCGAUCGGUUCAACUAAACGCCACGAAGUUGCAAAACUGGAGCGCAUUGAAUUAGGGUUUCUCCACCCCUAGUCUCCUACAUUAUAAAUAUAAUCCACACUCGUUCGCUUCCGUCAGUGCUCGGCCCUUUCUUUCUCUCCCUCACCAAGCUCCCUUAACCUUCUCUCUGUUUAUCAGCGUGUCUUUCUGCUCGUGUAUCUCUUUUUCUCUGAUUUUACGUCGCUUGCUUUUUACUUAGAAAUUCAUCAGUUUUUGUUUCUGGGAAUUUGAUCUGUUUUUUAAAACUUGAGGGACAAAAUGAAAUCAUGGGAUGAAGAAAAAAACUGCAACAAAAUGAUCGAUUA
This 3866-nucleotide long non-coding RNA is filed under the name Populus tremula. Its description in RNAcentral is "long non-coding RNA (PTRE_LNC001813)". Lineage: Eukaryota; Viridiplantae; Streptophyta; Magnoliopsida; Malpighiales; Salicaceae. The record is from RNAcentral.